RNAcentral lists this long non-coding RNA (270 nucleotides) under Fukomys damarensis (Damara mole-rat). Its description in RNAcentral is "lncRNA (ENSFDAG00000026039.1)". The record is from RNAcentral. Lineage: Eukaryota; Metazoa; Chordata; Mammalia; Rodentia; Bathyergidae.
AGAAAACCAAAAAAUAGAGAGGAGCAAGAGAACAGUCUGGGAGGAUGCUGCACUGGGAGGGCUUCCCCUUGGGCAUCUCUUCAUCAUGUAAACCACAGUCAAACUCCGGAGACAGUAAAAUGCACAAACGUGCUGGGUUACACCCACGUGAGGGAGUGUGUGCAGCAAUGACGGACGCCGGGGCCCACAGACGUCAUGGGGAGAGGAAGGAGCUACCCAUGAAAGAGUCUGCGGUAUCGCUGUGGCAGCGUGGCCACUAGAAAGGGAGCA